Grammomys surdaster is the source of this 3535-nucleotide RNA transcript. It is a transcript of the gene named E74 like ETS transcription factor 2, with no coding region annotated. The transcript is spliced from 12 exons. Lineage: Eukaryota; Metazoa; Chordata; Mammalia; Rodentia; Muridae. The record is from RefSeq and is a predicted model, not a curated record.
GGCAAGGGACACGGCGACGUGGAGGGAGAGCAGUAUUUCCAGAGAACUGCUGGUUUAGAAUUUAGCUCUUGGGACUUGUGAAAACAGUGAAGGAUGCUUAGACUACCUAACGUUCAAACUACCCUUUUGUUAAUCAUCUUUAGAAGACUGGACUUCUGGAUGUCUAUUGAAUUGAAACAUGAAAAUGGAACCUAUAACCGUGGCAAUCAUCUGUGAGCCUUAAUUACAUUGAUUCGUAGCAUUUGAAACUUCCUCGGGGAACACACAAUGGCAUCGGCAGUGGUUGACAGCGGAGGUUCUGUUCUGGAGCUUUCCAGCAAUGGAGUAGAAAAUCAAGAGGGAGGCGACACUGUCCCUGAAUAUCCAGCAGUGAUUGUGGAGCCCGUCCCCAGUGCGAGGUUAGAGCAGGGCUAUGCUGCCCAGGUGCUGGUGUAUGACGACGAGACUUACAUGAUGCAGGAUGUGGCAGAAGAACAAGAAGUUGAGACGGAGAAUUCAGAAACAGUGGAAGCGUCAGUUCACAGCAGCAAUGCACACUGUACGGAUAAGACCUUUGAAGCUGCUGAAGCCCUGCUUCACAUGGAAUCUCCUACCUGCCUGAGGGACUCAAGAAGUCCUGUGGAAGUGUUUGUCCCUCCUUGUAUAUCAACUCCAGAGUUUAUCCACGCUGCGAUGCGGCCAGAUGUCAUUACAGAGACUGUAGUGGAGGUGUCAACAGAAGAGUCUGAGCCAAUGGAUGCCUCGCCUGUUCCUACUUCACCAGACAGCCACGAACCAAUGAAAAGGAAAAAAGUUGGCCGUAAACCAAAGACCCAGCAGUCACCAGUUUCCAAUGGGUCUCCUGAGUUAGGAAUCAAGAAGAAAGCCAGAGAAGGAAAAGGAAACACAACCUACCUGUGGGAGUUUCUUUUAGACCUGCUUCAGGAUAAGAACACCUGUCCCAGGUAUAUUAAAUGGACCCAGAGGGAGAAGGGCAUCUUCAAGCUCGUGGACUCAAAGGCCGUCUCGAAGCUCUGGGGAAAGCAUAAGAACAAACCAGACAUGAACUAUGAAACGAUGGGGCGAGCCUUGAGAUACUACUACCAAAGGGGAAUUCUUGCAAAGGUUGAAGGACAGAGGCUUGUAUAUCAGUUCAAGGACAUGCCCAAAAACAUAGUGGUCAUCGAUGAUGACAAAAGUGAGACCUGCCCCGAAGACUUGGCAGCAGCUGCUGAUGACAAGUCUUUAGAACGAGUGUCACUAUCUGCAGAAAGUCUCCUGAAGGCAGCAACUGCCGUCCGAGGUGGGAAAACCUCAUCUCCUCUGAACUGCUCCCGAGCGGAGAAGGGUGUGGCUAGGGUUGUGAACAUCACUUCCCCUCCUCACGAUGCUUCGUCCAGGUCUCCUACCACCACAGCACCUGUGUCAGCAGCAGCAGCUCCAAGGACAGUUCGUGUGGCAAUGCAAGUCCCUGUGGUAAUGACGUCACUGGGUCAGAAGAUUUCAACUGUGGCAGUUCAGUCAGUCAAUGCAGGCACACCAUUAAUAACCAGCACCAGUCCAGCUACAGCCAGCUCUCCAAAAGUAGUCAUCCAGACAGUCCCGACUGUGAUGCCAGCCUCCACUGAAAAUGGAGACAGAAUCACCAUGCAGCCUGCCAAGAUUAUCACCAUCCCUGCUACUCAGCUUGCACAGUGUCAACUGCAGACAAAGUCAAAUCUGACUGGAUCAGGAAGCAUUAACAUUGUUGGAACCCCACUGGCUGUGAGGGCGCUCACCCCUGUUUCAAUCGCCCAUGGCACACCUGUAAUGAGACUAUCCGUGCCUGCUCAGCAGGCUUCUGGCCAGACUCCUCCUCGAGUUAUCAGUGCGGUCAUAAAAGGGCCAGAGGUUAAAUCAGAAGCCAAAAAGCAGGAGCACGAUGUGAAAACCUUGCAGCUGGUAGAAGAAAAGGGGGCAGAUGGGAACAAGACAGUAACUCAUGUGGUGGUUGUCAGUGCGCCCUCUGCUAUUGCCCUUCCUGUGACUAUGAAAACCGAAGGGCUAGUGACGUGUGAGAAAUAACCAAGCUCCUAGGGACUGCAGACAUUUGCAAGGGAAGUCAUCAAGAAAAGUCAGAGGAGGACUUUCAAACAACUGUGCAUAUAAGAAAGCAAUCAGACUUACUGGAAAUAAAUUACCUAUCCCAUGUUUCAGUGGGAAGUGAACUACACAUUGAGAUGCUGACAGAAAACUGCCUCUUAAAGUAAGAACAACUGAACCCUCAAUAAAAAAAAAGACUGAAAGGGACCAAGCAGCUCACUACAAUAUCACGUUACACUAAGAGUUGGAACACUAACACCUGUGACUUUCCAGUAGCAGUUCCAGCCUUCUCACCAGAUGACGGUGUGCAUCUUCAGAGAGCCCAGGCUGGACCCUUUGUUACAGAAGAUCUCACUUGAGCAACCAUCCUUGUGUGCCUCCUAUGUGUCAGCAUCUCUCCCUGGCUCAACAGUUACAGUCAUUCAGUAUUUUCUACCACACCAUUUUUUUUUUCUCAAUGGGGAGCCAGCCUCACAGUGUUCAUUGAAGUUCACCAAUAGCCUAGUUUCCAAAUGAAACCCAAAUUUGAAAAUGUUUUUAAAGUUAUAGUGUGUCCAUGCAUGAAGGAGAUCAGAGGACAAGGUUCAGAAGUCAGUUACUCUCAAGUCAUGAGACUUAGUCACAAGCACCUUAACCUAGUCAUCUCAAAUGCCCCAUACCACAUCUUUACAUAACUCCCGUGCCUGCAUAUAUGCUUGUGUACCACAUGUAUGAGGUGCCUGUGUACCACAUGUAUGAGGUGCCUGUGGAGGCCAGGAGUUGGAGCUCCUGGAACUGGGGUUGAGAGCUGCCAUGUAGGUGCAGGGAAUCAAACCUGAGGCCUCUGUAAGAGCAGCAAAUGCUCCUAACCCAUGAGCCAUGUCUCCACACCCCCCAAUCAAACCUUGUGCCUUAGUUUGCUUCCCAAAGUCAAUCUGGUUUCGUAUGACAUGCCUCUGGCUUUUUCUCAGCCUACAUGGCUAUCCUGAUUUUUGACUUCCAACCAAGGUUUGUCUAUAGGGCUUACUAAUGUAGAGGGGGUGAGGAGUUAGUGUGUGCUACACAAGCAGACACUACUGAAUGUUUAGUCAUUUCGUUGUGAGAGCUGUUUUUCAGAUAGUUGCCCAUGUUUUUUCCUACCAGAUCUUGGUCCAGACUAGAUUUUUACUCUUAUGAGCUCAUUUUACCUAACUGCCACACCACACAGCUCUUUCUGAGUGCUGGAUUAAACUCCCAUCCCCUUUAGUAUUAACAGCCCUUUAUUUCUGCCAGGGAUGUGUAAGUUUAUCUCAGACACCUUGGGUCAUUCACAUCUAGCCAUUUUCCAGUCCUGUUGAUGGCAUCUUGUGCAUGCCUGCCUUCCCUCCAAUAAGGUCUGGCUAUGUAGCCCAGGUUGUCAGAAAACAUUAUCCUACCUCAGACGUUGGAAUGCUGAGAGUUCAGGAAGCUAGUGUGCCAAAAAGCUAAAAUAAAUAAAAGUGGUUUUUGUUACAUA